RNAcentral lists this ribosomal RNA (460 nucleotides) under Geodermatophilus sp. BC460. RNAcentral describes it as "bacterial SSU rRNA". It matches the Rfam family "Bacterial small subunit ribosomal RNA", at positions 18 to 490 of the family's 1533-position model. Lineage: Bacteria; Bacillati; Actinomycetota; Actinomycetes; Geodermatophilales; Geodermatophilaceae. The record is from RNAcentral.
CCUGGCUCAGGACGAACGCUGGCGGCGUGCUUAACACAUGCAAGUCGAGCGAGGCCCACUCUUCGGGGUGGUGCCCUAGCGGCGAACGGGUGAGUAACACGUGGGCAACCUGCCCUCAGCUCUGGGAUAACUCCAAGAAAUUGGUGCUAAUACCGGAUGUGACCGCUGACCGCAUGGUCUGGUGGUGGAAAGAUUCAUCGGCUGAGGAUGGGCCCGCGGCCUAUCAGCUUGUUGGUGGGGUAAUGGCCCACCAAGGCGACGACGGGUAGCCGGCCUGAGAGGGUGACCGGCCACACUGGGACUGAGACACGGCCCAGACUCCUACGGGAGGCAGCAGUGGGGAAUAUUGCGCAAUGGGCGAAAGCCUGACGCAGCGACGCCGCGUGAGGGAUGACGGCCUUCGGGUUGUAAACCUCUUUCAGUAGGGACGAAGCGAAAGUGACGGUACCUACAGAAGAAG